CCAUUUUUAUUGCACAGAUUGACUUGGAUUCCCUGAAAGAAGGAAAGCCAAAAAUUUCCUCUGGAGGGGGCCCAGCUAAGAAGAGAAGGAAAGAAGGUCAAGUGGAGAACCGCUGGACACACUGCUGAGAGACAGAUCUUUUCACUUGGAAACUGUGAUUUAUCCAUCCUUAUUGUAAGAAGAUGGCUGUCCUUGUUCCAAAAGGCUGUCCUCUGUGUGAGGAAUGAUUGUGUGACCAAUGCCAAUGGUGAGCUGAAAACUUGUUUCUUCUUUCCCUCUUUAAUUGAAAGGUUUAUUCAAGUUAUUUGUAAAUUUAACAAUAACUAAGAUUCCAAGGCCCAUUACUCGGAAAGCCUUGAUUUCCUUGCUUAUUCUGUGCCUCUUAUCAAUACUCUUCAGAGCUUGGGGCUGAAGUAGCAUAAUGGGAGCAGGGAGGCAUUGUCUGCAUCUCCACAAGGACCCUGGCAUUUGGUAACAAAGCUACCAGGUUGUCUCUUU
RNAcentral lists this long non-coding RNA (498 nucleotides) under Phascolarctos cinereus (koala). Its description in RNAcentral is "lncRNA (ENSPCIG00000030014.2)". The record is from RNAcentral. Lineage: Eukaryota; Metazoa; Chordata; Mammalia; Diprotodontia; Phascolarctidae.